Neodiprion fabricii is the source of this 614-nucleotide long non-coding RNA. RefSeq lists it as uncharacterized. The record is from RefSeq and is a predicted model, not a curated record. The transcript has 3 exons. NCBI's taxonomy places the organism in Eukaryota, Metazoa, Arthropoda, Insecta, Hymenoptera, Diprionidae.
AUAAAAUGCACGUAGAUCCGUACUUUGUAUGUAGGCUGGUUACACCGCGAUUGUGUUCAACCCAAGUCUGGUGUGCGUAUAAUGGAGAAUUAUACGCCAGCGGUUUGCAGUCACGACGAGCCUGCGAUCGGGUACGCAACAUUUUAUACUCCUUGGCAACGCGGCUCGCUGGAGGACGCUAAAAGGUUCGGACACCCUCGCUAUCACCGGGUACCGGUAGGUACGUUAAUGAUUCGCGUCGCUGCAGAACCAACUGGAGUGGAUGUAAUCGGGAGUAGUCGGUGUCCGAUGGGCUGACCUGACGAAAAGAGACGGGGGCAACCUUCGGGAUCAAGAAUUCCCUGCCCAGUCGAAUCGAGGCUGCAAGGCGUGACGUAUUUCCUACAUCUUAAAUCCGACACACCCCGAGAGACACGCGUGACGAGGAGAGGCUAUCUAUUUGUGCGUGUCGAAGAGGCUAAUUUUAGUAGGUAUGAGAAGCUAGUUAUGUACGGACUGUUGACCACCGAUGCGAGAGGAAGCAAGAAGUCAUCGCGGCCUGACCUCGUACGGAUAUCAACUUUCGGCUUGCUUGGAUACAACGACGAAAACAAACCGAGUGCGAAGGUUGGACU